This 468-nucleotide ribosomal RNA is filed under the name uncultured bacterium. RNAcentral's name for it is "partial 16S ribosomal RNA". It matches the Rfam family "Bacterial small subunit ribosomal RNA", at positions 28 to 507 of the family's 1533-position model. The record is from RNAcentral.
GAUGAACGCUGGCGGCGUGCUUAACACAUGCAAGUCGAACGGAAAGGCCCAAGCUUGCUUGGGUACUCGAGUGGCGAACGGGUGAGUAACACGUGGGUGAUCUGCCCUGCACUUCGGGAUAAGCCUGGGAAACUGGGUCUAAUACCGGAUAGGACGAUGGUUUGGAUGCCAUUGUGGAAAGUUUUUUCGGUGUGGGAUGAGCUCGCGGCCUAUCAGCUUGUUGGUGGGGUAAUGGCCUACCAAGGCGUCGACGGGUAGCCGGCCUGAGAGGGUGUACGGCCACAUUGGGACUGAGGUACGGCCCAGACUCCUACGGGAGGCAGCAGUGGGGAAUAUUGCACAAUGGGCGCAAGCCUGAGGCAGCGACGCCGCGUGGGGGAUGAAGGCCUUCGGGUUGUAAACUCCUUUCGCUAGGGACGAAGCGUUUUUGUGACGGUACCUGGAGAAGAAGCACCGGCUAACUACGUG